This 2942-nucleotide long non-coding RNA is filed under the name Equus caballus (horse). Its description in RNAcentral is "lncRNA (ENSECAG00000057876.1)". The record is from RNAcentral. Lineage: Eukaryota; Metazoa; Chordata; Mammalia; Perissodactyla; Equidae.
AGAAGCUCCAGCAAAGAAGUGCGGGAUGCUGGUGCCGUGUGAUGAGACCAGAUUGCAGUCAGGAGAGAGACCGGAGAGAGCUCUACAGUUGGUCAGACUCACGGGCUCCUGUGUUCUCUGCCCGCCACCCAGGGCCACUCGAGGAAGCACUGGGGUUGGCCACAAGGCAGAGGGAGAAAGUGACCUAUGGGCAAGCGCCUGGUGGCGGUUUCCACAAGAAGGAACAGGCAGAGCAUUUCAAUCUCUUAAGAGAAAGAGGAGCCAGAGACAGAAGAAUCCUGGGCCCCAGAGUCACCCAGGAACCUUAUUCCUGCUCACCAACCAGGAACAUUUGCAUUGGACUGUCACGUGAACAAAACAUAAACUAGACCUCUACAUUUGGACAUUUCCUCACGGUAGGUCAGUCUAAAGGAGGACUGGAAUCAUACCCACUGGAGUCAGACCGCAGCUGAAGCUGGUGCCAAGGACCUGGAAGGAGAAGAAAGCGCAAAGUGAGACAAACAGGCUGCAGCCAUGUUGUCACAAUACAGAACAUUUAUCACUCAAAGGGGGAGAUAUAUCAAGAGACCCUUAAAACAGCAACUUAAAAUGUUGAGAGAAAAAACUACUUAUCUCCUUCACUACACGUUUCCCUUAAAAUAUGUCCAUUGGGAUGGGGAGGCAUUUGGAAAUGACCAUGGCCUAAAAGUUGAGUGCUAAAAGAGAAAAUGCCACCCAAGGCCCAAACCUGCUGCUGACAACCUUAGUUUUCAGUUUCCCUUGGGCAAUCAAUGAUUGCCCUACAACUGGGAAAGACUGGGGAAUUAAAUGCUAAGUAUUACUCUCCUCAUUUCCAGGAGCUCACUAGGGAACCCCUGCUCAGAACAUCACUCCUAAUAGGCAGUGCUAACAGUGGGAGCCAACAGCAACAGGGCUUUCUGGGCAAUGCAACUGAUAGGCUACAGGAAAUAGACGGCCCCAAGGAGACCAAAGUCCAUGUAGGUGACAGGCCUGCCUUCUGAAAGAUAGGCCUGAAAUUCAGUCUAAAAGUAAAUGUCAGGUCUGAUUGUAUCAGUGGACUUAAUUGACACUGGCCAGUUAACAUUUAGCCAUUAGCCUUUAGGAUAAGUUAACUCUAAAACAGUCAAAAAGAAGCUUCUAAAUAAAUAGCAACUACCCCACUCCCAAAUCAAAUGUCCAUUAAGACUUACACAUAAAAUCACACACAAAUAUACAUAAUUACCCACUGUUCUCAGGCCCAUACUAAUAUGUUUGUUGACACAAAGCAUCCAGGGAUAUAUGAAAAUCCAGACACAUUUGGGAUCUACCACCUGGGUUAAUCACCUUUACAAUAAUAUAAUUUUUAUUGUAAUGAUUCGUGAACACUUUGGAUAAAGCACUUUGUAAGUCAUAUUAGGAAGCACUUUGGGUAAAGAAGUAACGAGCUAUCUAUCCCAUCCCUUGGCUUUUACUUCCAAUCUAAGGAAAAUGGUGACCAAAUACCAUCCAACUGUGAACUUAUAGGAGACAGACAUGCUAAGGGCUUAUUGGUGUUUCCGCUUAAACCAUGAUUUACCGUGAGAUGAGAUUUUCACGAAUUGUUGGAUUCACUUCUUAAAUAUGUAUAUAUAUGAUGAGUAUCAUUCUAAGGAGAAGGCUGCACAGCUUUUGAGAGUAGCAUUCUCUUGUAAAAGGCGAGGAACUGUGUGUAUCAGACAGGAAUUGUGUAUCUGUUGGGUGAUGAGCUUUCAUGGGCCAAGGAGCUGGAAAUCUGGGGCCUCGAUCGAGGGCAAUUUGGAAGACCAAGCUGUGAGCCCCCAGAAUAUACCUGCCAAAUAGGGAGAGUGGGCCUACCUUAACGCAUUUAGACCACAGGCAAAUAGAAGUAGAGCAAGAGCAUCAGUACAGGCAUCAUGGGCUGUCUGCCUCAUGCUGCAUUCAAUAGUAUUGGAGUGAAGGGACACAACUGUGCUUUCAAGGGACAGGAAGUCAGGAGGCAACUGACUCAGUUUCAUGAGUUCCAUUUUAGAUUUUCCCCAGUUGUCUUCUCCUACCACAUAAAAGCGCCAGUGUCUCCACCUCCCCAGUGCAAGAGCCAAGAGAAAUUCUAUGUGAGGACUAGUUUGUUCCUAGUGAAGACAGCCAAGCAGGUUGAGAAAUCACAUCCUGUACUGAUGCAUGAAUAAGGAACUUGGAAUAGGGACACAGCUAGUUGUUAAUCUUGUCUUAACCAGACAGUUUGAAUGUGCAGCAGAAUUUUCAUCAGAUCUAUGGAUCGUGCCAAUGUAAAAAAAAACAGGCAAGCUUUGCAGGUUAGAUCAUUGCCCUAAUAGCAUCCAUCAACGUGGAGUCUUCUGAUAGACUGCAAAUCGACAACGUACACAAAGAAGGAUUUCAACCUUCCUCCUGCUCACCUCAAGACUAGAAGACACAGGGAGCAAGGCCAGGAUUUCUCAGCUUCAGCACUAAUGACAUGUGGGGCUGGAUCACUCUCUGUUGUGGGGACUGUCUUGCGCAGUGUGGCAUGUUUAGCAGCAAUCCUGUGGGUAGAGAAAUCUUCUAACCACUAGAUGCCAGUAGCACGAGUGAGCACCACCCCUCCACACAACUUGUGACGGCCAAAAACAUCUCCAGACAUUGCCAAAGGCCCCAGGGAAGAAGGCAGCACAGGAAAUCACCCCAGAUGUGAACCAUCAUGUCGGACUGUGAAUAACUGGAGGGGUGUUUUCCACUUUGUGUUCCUGGUAACUAAAACAGGACUCAUACAUUAAGUGUUUAAUAAACAUUUGGUGAAUGAUUAGGUUGGAGACCCAGCAGGUAAAGCAAAGAAUAAAGGAAACAAACUUAUAAAGAAAGCAGAGCCAGGGGAUAAGUUUGCUGACAAGAGCAUAUAAUUUAUUCUUGAGGAGUUGCAUUUUUAAAAAACAUUUCUAAUUGACAUGGUUUGUUUUUAUAAAUAGAAC